Molecule: ribosomal RNA, 132 nt
Filed under: Bacillota bacterium
Lineage: Bacteria; Bacillati; Bacillota
Description: partial 16S ribosomal RNA
Rfam family: Bacterial small subunit ribosomal RNA
Source: RNAcentral
ACGAGAGUGGGUAACACCCGAAGUCGGUGAGGUAACCCGCAAGGGAGCCAGCCGCCGAAGGUGGGAUUCGCGAUUGGGGUGAAGUCGUAACAAGGUAGCCGUAUCGGAAGGUGCGGCUGGAUCACCUCCUUU